Molecule: ribosomal RNA, 306 nt
Filed under: uncultured bacterium
Lineage: Bacteria
Description: partial 16S ribosomal RNA
Rfam family: Bacterial small subunit ribosomal RNA
Source: RNAcentral
GACAGCAGCCGCCACGGUAAUACGGAGGGUGCAAGCGUUAAUCGGAAUUACUGGGCGUAAAGCGUGCGUAGGCGGUUCGUUAAGUCUGUUGUGAAAGCCCCGGGCUCAACCUGGGAAUGGCAAUGGAUACUGGCGAGCUAGAGUGUGUCAGAGGAUGGUGGAAUUCCCGGUGUAGCGGUGAAAUGCGUAGAGAUCGGGAGGAACAUCAGUGGCGAAGGCGGCCAUCUGGGACAACACUGACGCUGAGGCACGAAAGCGUGGGGAGCAAACAGGAUUAGAUACCCGCGUAGUCCCUGUCUCUUAUAC